RNAcentral lists this transfer RNA (89 nucleotides) under bacterium. RNAcentral's name for it is "tRNA-Leu". It matches the Rfam family "tRNA". From Rfam's summary of the family: Transfer RNA (tRNA) molecules are approximately 80 nucleotides in length. Their secondary structure includes four short double-helical elements and three loops (D, anti-codon, and T loops). The record is from RNAcentral. RNAcentral also lists the same sequence under 2 other names.
GCCGAAGUGGUGGAACUGGCAGACGCGCUGGACUCAAAAUCCAGUGGAGCUCAAACUCCGUGUGGGUUCGACUCCCACCUUCGGCACCA